Molecule: ribosomal RNA, 946 nt
Filed under: Phytophthora multivesiculata
Lineage: Eukaryota; Oomycota; Peronosporomycetes; Peronosporales; Peronosporaceae
Description: LSU rRNA
Rfam family: Eukaryotic large subunit ribosomal RNA
Source: RNAcentral
UAACGGCGAAGUGAAGCGGGAAGAGCUCAAGCUUAAAAUCUCCGUGCAAGUUUUGCGCGGCGAAUUGUAGUCUAUAGAGGCGUGGUCAGCGCGGGCGCUUGGGGCAAGUUCCUUGGAAGAGGACAGCAUGGAGGGUGAUACUCCCGUUCAUCCCUGAGCGGCUCGUGCGUACGACCCGUUUUCUUUGAGUCGCGUUGUUUGGGAAUGCAGCGCAAAGUAGGUGGUAAAUUCCAUCUAAAGCUAAAUAUUGGUGCGAGACCGAUAGCGAACAAGUACCGUGAGGGAAAGAUGAAAAGAACUUUGAAAAGAGAGUUAAAGAGUACCUGAAACUGCUGAAAGGGAACCGAAUCGUUUCCAGUGUCUAUAAUCCGUGGCAUAUUUCAUUGGCGAAUGUUUGCGUGCGUGUGCUAUGGCAGUGGCUUUUUUGGCUGCGCCUGGCGUGUGUGCUGUGAGUGUUUGCUGGUGCCCUGUGCUGCGGUGGGACGUCAAGGUCAGUUCGUAUGCUGCGGGAAAUGGCUGCCGAGGAGGUAGGGCUUACGCUCCGCGUUUGUCUGUUAUAUCUUGGUGGACGAGUCGUCGCGGUUGGGACUGAGGUGCCUACAACGUGCUUUUGAGUGGGUUUGUGUCUCCGUGUGCGCCGUGUGCGGAUAGCUUGCUAUGCGUGUGUGGUUGUGUGCGGAUUGAUGCAGGCUUUAACUUGUCGCCGUUCGGGACGUUGACGAAAUGGAGCGAUCCGACCCGUCUUGAAACACGGACCAAGGAGUCUAACAUGUGUGCAAGUGUUAGGGUGUGGAAACCCCAGCGCGAAAUGAAAGUGAAGGGCAGCGCAAGUUGUCUGAGGUAGGAAACGUUGCGGGCUUCGGUCUGCGGCGUGGCACUAUCGACCGAUCAUGAACCUUCGUGGUGAAAGAUUUGAGUUUGAGCACRURUGUUGGUACCCGAAAGA